This 476-nucleotide ribosomal RNA is filed under the name uncultured bacterium. RNAcentral describes it as "bacterial SSU rRNA". It matches the Rfam family "Bacterial small subunit ribosomal RNA", at positions 43 to 524 of the family's 1533-position model. The record is from RNAcentral.
CAGGCCUAACACAUGCAAGUCGAACGGUCAGUAGCAAUACUGAUAGUGGCGCACGGGUGCGUAACACGUAACUAAUCUACCUACAACUGGGGGAUAGCCCGCCGAAAGGCGGAUUAAUACCGCAUAACAUAAGGUGGCGGCAUCGUCUCUUUAUUAAAGAUUUAUUGGUUGUAGAUGAGGUUGCGGGUCAUUAGCUAGUUGGUAAGGUAACGGCUUACCAAGGCGACGAUGACUAGGGGAGCUGAGAGGCUGGUCCCCCACACGGGCACUGAGAUACGGGCCCGACUCCUACGGGAGGCAGCAGUAGGGAAUAUUGGGCAAUGGGCGAGAGCCUGACCCAGCCAUGCCGCGUGCAGGACGAAGGCUUUCUGAGUCGUAAACUGCUUUUGACAGGGAAGAAUAAGCUGCUCGUGAGCAGUGAUGACGGUACCUGCAGAAUAAGCACCGGCUAACUCCGUGCCAGCAGCCGCGGUAAU